UAGUCCACGCCGUAAACGAUGUCAACUAGCCGUUGGGAGCAUUUAAGCUCUGAGUGGCGCAGCUAACGCGAUAAGUUGACCGCCUGGGGAGUACGCCGGCAACGGUAAAACUCAAAGGAAUUGACGGGGGCCCGCACAAGCGGUGGAGUAUGUGGUUUAAUUCGAAGCAACGCGCAGAACCUUACCUACCCUUGACAUCCCAGGCCAAUCACAGAGAUGUGACUUUCUCUUCGGAGACCUGGUGACAGAUGCUGCAUGGCUGUCGUCAGCUCGUGUCGUAAGAUGUUCGGUUAAGUCCGGUAACGAGCGCAACCCUUAUCUUUAGUUGCCAGCAUUAAGUUGGGCACUCUAGAGAGACUGCCGGUGUCAAACCGGGNGGAAGGCGGGGAUGGACGUCAAGUCCUCAUGGGCUCUUACGGGGUAGGGGCUACACACGUACUACAAUGGGCAGAAACAGACGGCCGCGAAACCGC
Molecule: ribosomal RNA, 473 nt
Filed under: uncultured bacterium
Lineage: Bacteria
Description: bacterial SSU rRNA
Rfam family: Bacterial small subunit ribosomal RNA
Source: RNAcentral